UAGUCAGAGCAUGUUGGCAUGGAGGCC
Molecule: non-coding RNA, 27 nt
Filed under: Macaca fascicularis (crab-eating macaque)
Lineage: Eukaryota; Metazoa; Chordata; Mammalia; Primates; Cercopithecidae
Also listed under: 1 other name
Source: RNAcentral